This 937-nucleotide ribosomal RNA is filed under the name uncultured bacterium. Its description in RNAcentral is "bacterial SSU rRNA". It matches the Rfam family "Bacterial small subunit ribosomal RNA", at positions 388 to 1339 of the family's 1533-position model. The record is from RNAcentral.
CCAGCAACGCCGCGUGAGUGAAGAAGGCCUUCGGGUUGUAAAGCUCUGUUAUAGUUGACGAAGUGCGUGACGGUAGGCUAUAAGGAAGCCCCGGCUAACUACGUGCCAGCAGCCGCGGUAAUACGUAGGGGGCGAGCGUUGUCCGGAAUGACUGGGCGUAAAGGGCGUGUAGGCGGUCAUCUAAGUCUGGAGUGAAAGUCCCGGAUUCAAUUUGGGAAUUGCUUUGGAUACUGGAAGACUUGAGUGCGGAAGAGGUAAGUGGAAUUCCCAGUGUAGCGGUGAAAUGCGUAGAGAUUGGGAGGAACACCAGUGGCGAAGGCGACUUACUGGGCCGUAACUGACGCUGAGGCGCGAAAGCGUGGGGAGCGAACAGGAUUAGAUACCCUGGUAGUCCACGCGGUAAACGAUGAAUGUUAGGUGUUGCGGGUAUCGACCCCUGCAGUGCCGGAGUAAACACAAUAAACAUUCCGCCUGGGGAGUACGGCCGCAAGGUUGAAACUCAAAGGAAUUGACGGGGGCCCGCACAAGCAGCGGAGCAUGUUGUUUAAUUCGAAGCAACGCGAAGAACCUUACCAGGUCUUGACAUCCGGUUAAAGCCCAAGAGAUUGGGUGUUUCUUCGGAAGAACCGAGACAGGUGGUGCAUGGUUGUCGUCAGCUCGUGUCGUGAGAUGUUGGGUUAAGUCCCGCAACGAGCGCAACCCUUAUGGUCAGUUACUAACACGUAGCGGUGAGGACUCUGACAAGACUGCCGGGGACAACUCGGAGGAAGGUGGGGACGACGUCAAAUCAUCAUGCCCCUUAUGACCUGGGCUACAAACGUGCUACAAUGGUGACCACAAAGAGGAGCGAGACCGUAAGGUGGAGCGGAUCUCAAAAAAGUCAUCCCAGUUCGGAUUGUGGGCUGCAACCCGCCCACAUGAAGUUGGAGUUGCUAGU